Molecule: ribosomal RNA, 262 nt
Filed under: uncultured bacterium
Lineage: Bacteria
Description: partial 16S ribosomal RNA
Rfam family: Bacterial small subunit ribosomal RNA
Source: RNAcentral
UUAGUGGCGGACGGGUGAGUAACGCGUGGAAAACCUGCCGUAUACUGGGGGAUAACGCUUAGAAAUAGGUGCUAAUACCGCAUAAGCGCACAGCUUCGCAUGAAGCGGUGUGAAAAACUCUGGUGGUAUACGAUGGUUCCGCGUCUGACUAGCUAGUUGGUGGGGUAAUGGCCUACCAAGGCAACGAUCAGUAGCCGGCCUGAGAGGGUGAACGGCCACAUUGGGACUGAGACACGGCCCAAACUCCUACGGGAGGCAGCAG